GAUGAACGCUGGCGGCGCGCUUAACACAUGCAAGUCGAACGAAGCACCUUGAUUCGAUUCUUCGGAUGAAGAUCUUGGUGACUGAGUGGCGGACGGGUGAGUAACGCGUGGGUAACCUGCCUCAUACAGGGGGAUAACAGUUUGAAAUGACUGCUAAUACCGCAUAAGACCACAGCACCGCAUGGUGCAGGGGUAAAAACUCCGGUGGUAUGAGAUGGACCCGCGUCUGAUUAGGUAGUUGGUGGGGUAACGGCCUACCAAGCCGACGAUCAGUAGCCGACCUGAGAGGGUGACCGGCCACAUUGGGACUGAGACACGGCCCAAACUCCUACGGGAGGCAGCAGUGGGGAAUAUUGCACAAUGGGGGAAACCCUGAUGCAGCGACGCCGCGUGAGCGAUGAAGUAUUUCGGUAUGUAAAGCUCUAUCAGCAGGGAAGAAAAUGACGGUACCUGACGAAGAAGCACCGGCUAAAUACGUG
Molecule: ribosomal RNA, 479 nt
Filed under: uncultured bacterium
Lineage: Bacteria
Description: partial 16S ribosomal RNA
Rfam family: Bacterial small subunit ribosomal RNA
Source: RNAcentral